GGGCGGUGCCGAGGCUGGGGGCCGGUGGCGGAUGGAGCCCGCGAUGGAGCCGGAGACUCUGGAGGCGCGAAUCAAUAGAGCCACGAACCCCCUGAACAAGGAGCUCGACUGGGCCAGCAUCAACGGCUUCUGCGAGCAGCUCAACGAGGACUUUGAGGGGCCUCCACUCGCCACCCGGCUGCUGGCCCACAAGAUCCAGUCCCCACAGGAGUGGGAGGCGAUCCAGGCCUUGACGGUGAGAAGGGGAGAGGCCACCAUCCAUCCCCCGCCAUGUGACGACACCAAGGGAGGCCAAGACUGAGGUUCUUGGGGUCCAUAAGGCUCUUCAGAGCCCAAGAGAGUUGUGCUAAGAUGGCCCAGGAUGGAGGUCUGGGCCUGCCCCAAGGGUCCCACCACAGCCAGCGGGCUGGCCUCCCACCCCAGCAUCCAUACACGUAGGCCUGUUGCUGAGGGAAGGCCCUCUAGGGUCAUCUGGUCCAGGGGUUCCUUGCUUCAGCUGCACAUCGGCUGCCUCUCCAGGAAGCGUGUUCAACACAUGGAAUCAGGGCUCCACCCAGACCUGCCGAGGCCACACUCCUGGAGUAUCUGCAUCCAGAGAUCUGCACGUUUGUAAAGCUAAGGGGUGGUGCUUGGGCUCAGGCCUGAGGUUUUGCAUCUGUUCAAUAGCAGAGGAGAGAGGGGUGUACUGUCUGUGGCCCCCAGCAUGGGCCACAUACCAACCCACCAUGGAGCAAAGCUGAUUUUAAGUGGUGGUAGAGAUACAGUUUCUCUUUUAAUACUUACGUGUUUAGUUGGGCGCAGUGGCUUAUACCUGUAAUUUCAGCACUUGGGGAGGCCAAGGCAGGAGGCUUGCUUGAGGCAAGGAGUUCAAGGCUACAGUGAGCUAUGAUUGUGCCACUGUACUCCAGACUGGACAACAGAGUGAGACCCCAUCUCUAAAUGAUAAUCAUUAUUGUUACAUAUUUGUUUUAACAUUUUUUUCUCAAGUAUAACUAGUCCUAUGAUUUCAUAGAUGUAGCUUAGGAUAAGGCCAAGGUAGAUGUUGCCUAUAUAAGGUUUUUUUAAAAAAGGAAAAAUAGGCCGGGCUGGUGGCUCACGCCUGUAAUCCCAGCACUUUGGCAGGCUGAGGCGGGCAGAUCACCUGAGAUCAGGAGUUCAAGAUCAGCCUGACCAACAUGGAGAAACCCCAUGUCUACUAAAAAUAAAAAAUUAGCGAGGCGUGGUGGGCAGGCGCCUGUAAUCCCAGCUACUUGGGAGGCUGAGGCAGAAGAAUCAUUUGAACCCAGGAGGCAGAGGUUACAGUGAGCCGAGAUCGUGCUACUGCAUUCCAGCCUGGGCAACAAGAGUGAAACUCUGUCUCAAAAAAAAAAAAAAAAAAAAAAAAGGAAAAA
Molecule: small RNA, 1391 nt
Filed under: Pan troglodytes (chimpanzee)
Lineage: Eukaryota; Metazoa; Chordata; Mammalia; Primates; Hominidae
Description: retained intron
Source: RNAcentral